This 426-nucleotide ribosomal RNA is filed under the name uncultured prokaryote. Its description in RNAcentral is "bacterial SSU rRNA". It matches the Rfam family "Bacterial small subunit ribosomal RNA", at positions 355 to 796 of the family's 1533-position model. The record is from RNAcentral.
UGGGGAAUUUUCCGCAAUGGGCGCAAGCCUGACGGAGCAACGCCGCGUGAGGGAGGAAGGCCUGUGGGUUGUAAACCUCUUUUCUCAAGGAAGAAGAACUGACGGUACUUGAGGAAUCAGCAUCGGCUAACUCCGUGCCAGCAGCCGCGGUAAUACGGAGGGGGUUAGCGUUGUUCGGAAUUACUGGGCGUAAAGCGCACGUAGGCGGACUAUUAAGUCAGGGGUGAAAUCCCGGGGCUCAACCCCGGAACUGCCUUUGAUACUGGUAGUCUUGAGUUCGAGAGAGGUGAGUGGAAUUCCGAGUGUAGAGGUGAAAUUCGUAGAUAUUCGGAGGAACACCAGUGGCGAAGGCGGCUCACUGGCUCGAUACUGACGCUGAGGUGCGAAAGCGUGGGGAGCAAACAGGAUUAGAUACCCCCGUAGUCC